AGAGUUUGAUCCUGGCUCAGGACGAACGCUGGGGAAGAGGGGAGAUGCAAGUCGAGCGAGAACCAUGGCUUCGGCCAAGGGGACAGCGGCGAACGGGUGAGUAACACGUGGGUAAUCAACCCCCGACACCGGGAUAGCCCAGGGAAACUUGGAUUAAUACCGGAUGCCCCAUCUGGCUUUCGAGCCGGCUGGAAAAGGGUAGCUUCGGCCUCUGGUCGGGGACGAGCCCGCGGCGGAUUAGCUUGUUGGUGAGGUAACGGCUCACCAAGGCGACGAUCCGUAGCUGGUCUGAGAGGACGAUCAGCCACACUGGGACUGAGACACGGCCCAGACUCCUACGGGAGGCAGCAGUGGGGAAUAUUGCACAAUGGGCGAUUUUUUUGUUGCAGCGACGCCGCGUGAGGGAUGUUUUUUUUUUGGGUUGUAAACCUCUUUCGACAGGGACGAAGCGUGAGUGACGGUACCUGUAGAAGAAGCACCGGCCAACUACGUGCCAGCAGCCGCGGUAAUACGUAGGGUGCGAGCGUUGUCCGGAAUUACUGGGCGUAAAGAGCUUGUAGGCGGUUUGUCGCGUCGAUUGUGAAAACUCACGGCUCAACCGUGAGCUUGCAGUCGAUACGGGCAGACUAGAGUACUUCAGGGGAGACUGGAAUUCCUGGUG
RNAcentral lists this ribosomal RNA (661 nucleotides) under uncultured Actinomycetes bacterium. RNAcentral's name for it is "bacterial SSU rRNA". It matches the Rfam family "Bacterial small subunit ribosomal RNA", at positions 8 to 675 of the family's 1533-position model. The record is from RNAcentral. Lineage: Bacteria; Bacillati; Actinomycetota; Actinomycetes.